AGGGUUUGAUUCUGGCUCAGGAUGAACGCUGGCGGCGUGCCUAACACAUGCAAGUCGAGCGAACUUCUUCGGAAGUGAGCGGCGGACGGGUGAGUAACGCGUGGGUAACCUGCCCUAUACACACGGAUAACGUACCGAAAGGUACGCUAAUACGAGAUAACAUAUUUUUAUCGCAUGAUAAGAAUAUCAAAGCUCCGGCGGUAUAGGAUGGACCCGCGUCUGAUUAGCUAGUUGGUAAGGUAACGGCUUACCAAGGCGACGAUCAGUAGCCGACCUGAGAGGGUGAUCGGCCACAUUGGAACUGAGACACGGUCCAA
This 317-nucleotide ribosomal RNA is filed under the name uncultured bacterium. RNAcentral describes it as "bacterial SSU rRNA". It matches the Rfam family "Bacterial small subunit ribosomal RNA", at positions 8 to 334 of the family's 1533-position model. The record is from RNAcentral.